GACGAACGCUGGCGGCGUGCCUAAUACAUGCAAGUAGAACGCUGAAGAGAGGAGCUUGCUCUUCUUGGAUGAGUUGCGAACGGGUGAGUAACGCGUGGUAACCUGCCUGGUAGCGGGGGAUAACUAUUGGAAACGAUAGCUAAUACCGCAUAAAAUGGAUUAUCGCAUGAUAAUCCAUUGAAAGGUGCAAAUGCAUCACUACCAGAUGGACCUGCGUUGUAUUAGCUAGUUGGUGGGGUAACGGCUCACCAAGGCGACGAUACAUAGCCGACCUGAGAGGGUGAUCGGCCACACUGGGACUGAGACACGGCCCAGACUCCUACGGGAGGCAGCAGUAGGGAAUCUUCGGCAAUGGACGGAAGUCUGACCGAGCAACGCCGCGUGAGUGAAGAAGGUUUUCGGAUCGUAAAGCUCUGUUGUAAGAGAAGAACGAGUGUGAGAGUGGAAAGUUCACACUGUGACGGUAUCUUACCAGAAAGGGACGGCUAACUACGUG
This 496-nucleotide ribosomal RNA is filed under the name uncultured bacterium. Its description in RNAcentral is "partial 16S ribosomal RNA". It matches the Rfam family "Bacterial small subunit ribosomal RNA", at positions 28 to 507 of the family's 1533-position model. The record is from RNAcentral.